Molecule: ribosomal RNA, 514 nt
Filed under: uncultured bacterium
Lineage: Bacteria
Description: partial 16S ribosomal RNA
Rfam family: Bacterial small subunit ribosomal RNA
Source: RNAcentral
AACGAACGCUGGCGGCGUGCCUAACACAUGCAAGUCGAACGUGAAAGUACUUCGGUAUGAGUAAAGUGGCGCACGGGUGAGUAACGCGUAGGUGACCUGCCUUUUAAUGGGGAAUAACCAGAUGAAAAUUUGGCUAAUGCCGCAUACGAAGCACAAAUAUAAUAGUAGUGCUUGAAAGAAUGCCUCUGUAUAUGCAUUCGGUAAAAGAUGGGCCUGGGGAACAUUAGCUAGUUGGUGGGGUAAAGGCCUACCAAGGCAACGAUGUUUAUCCGGUCUGAGAGGAUGAUCGGACACACUGGAACUGAGACACGGUCCAGACUCCUACGGGAGGCAGCAGUGGGGAAUAUUGCGCAAUGGGGGAAACCCUGACGCAGCAACGCCGCGUGAGUGAGGAAGGACUUCGGUCUGUAAAGCUCUGUUAAUGAGGAAAAAUGGUAGUUGGUCUAAUAGGCCGAUUAUUUGAUGGUAUUCAUAGAGGAAGCACCGGUUAACUACGUGCCAGCAGCCGCCGUAA